UACGUAGGGGGCAAGCGUUGUCCGGAAUCAUUGGGCGUAAAGCGCGUGUAGGCGGCCCGAUAAGUCCGCUGUGAAAGUCCAGGGCUCAACCCUGGGAUGCCGGUGGAUACUGUCGGGCUCGAGUCCGGAAGAGGCGAGUGGAAUUCCUGGUGUAGCGGUGAAAUGCGCAGAUAUCAGGAGGAACACCAAUGGCGAAGGCAGCUCGCUGGGACGUGACUGACGCUGAGACGCGAAAGCGUGGGGAGCAAACAGG
RNAcentral lists this ribosomal RNA (253 nucleotides) under uncultured bacterium. RNAcentral describes it as "partial 16S ribosomal RNA". It matches the Rfam family "Bacterial small subunit ribosomal RNA", at positions 524 to 776 of the family's 1533-position model. The record is from RNAcentral.